GAUGAACGCUGGCGGCGUGCCUAAUACAUGCAAGUCGAGCGAACGGAUGAGAAGCUUGCUUCUCUGAUGUUAGCGGCGGACGGGUGAGUAACACGUGGAUAACCUACCUAUAAGACUGGGAUAACUUCGGGAAACCGGAGCUAAUACCGGAUAAUAUUUUGAACCGCAUGGUUCAAUAGUGAAAGACGGUCUUGCUGUCACUUAUAGAUGGAUCCGCGCUGCAUUAGCUAGUUGGUAAGGUAACGGCUUACCAAGGCAACGAUGCAUAGCCGACCUGAGAGGGUGAUCGGCCACACUGGAACUGAGACACGGUCCAGACUCCUACGGGAGGCAGCAGUAGGGAAUCUUCCGCAAUGGGCGAAAGCCUGACGGAGCAACGCCGCGUGAGUGAUGAAGGUCUUCGGAUCGUAAAACUCUGUUAUUAGGGAAGAACAUAUGUGUAAGUAACUGUGCACAUCUUGACGGUACCUAAUCAGAAAGCCACGGCUAACUACGUG
This 497-nucleotide ribosomal RNA is filed under the name uncultured bacterium. RNAcentral describes it as "partial 16S ribosomal RNA". It matches the Rfam family "Bacterial small subunit ribosomal RNA", at positions 28 to 507 of the family's 1533-position model. The record is from RNAcentral.